CUGUGUAGCCACGCAGGAGGAGCUCAGCCACCGAGCUGCUGACGAGAUCUUUGUUCCAGACCAGCUGUUUGAGUCGUGCGGUGGAGACAUCGUGCUCAUCGUUUCAUUUGUUUGUGGGAUUCUCUCUGCGGUCGUGCUGAUAGCUGUGUUUGUGUGUUUCCUCUACUUUACCGUCUAAUCGUCCAUGAAGAUUCUUAGAGAAACCAGAGUGAUGAUCCUUCUAAGGAUCCUUGUAACGGUGACACGGAGCUGCCACAUCAGACACUCAGAAGAAACUUCUUCUCUGUUCAGGACAACAGAUUCAUACGUCAGUGAAAUGAAAUCUUUACUUUCACUCUUGUCUCAUAUUGAGUCAGCGUGAAGGAAAUGCUGCUGUUUUAUAUUUAUUUUAAAGUUAUGGCUCAUGAUGAAAUGAAUGUUUUUUUAUUGUCACAUGAAGCAGCGACUUCCAUGAUGCUCAUGAAACAUGAAACAUGAUCAUGGCUGUUGUUACUGGGAAAUGAACACUAAGCUACAGUAAAGUCCAGCUUUGCUCUGCACUUUAAUGUUUGUGCUCUCACACUGUCAUUACCUUAUUAAUGCUGCGUUUCAUAUCUGUUUCAUAUCUGUGCUGUUUCAUUUAAUUAAGACAAAUAUGGCCUUCAUCUUUUAUUCAUUCUCUUAUUUCUCUAUGUUUGAAAUUAUUGUGCAGUGCACCAGUGCUAGCUGCGCCAAAUUUUGAGCGCACUGUUACUGGGCUCAGCUAACCCAUGUUUAACCAGGUAUUCAACUUCCCGUUGCAUUAAAAUCCACUUGGUUGUAUUUACUCUAUAAGCAUGUUGUUUUAUUGGCUUAUCAACUUCCACAACGAUAUCAUGAAAGAGCGCAGACGUCUGCUGAGGAUGGUCAGAGAAAAGCAGCAAAUUAGCUUCAAUCAGAUCAAGGAUAUCUUUGCGGGCGGAAUCUGACAUGUGACAGAAAAGAUUCUACGUCCUCUAACACUUCUGAGUUUCGCAAACGGGCCACAGGGAUACAACUGCUCUUCUCAAUCAAGUCAUCAUCUUGCAAAACAUACAGUGGUGGUGCCGAAAAAUUUUAAGAUUUGAAAUUUUGUAUAAAAUCCAGAAUAAAAUCUUUCCUUCUGAUUUAAUGAUUAUUUGCUGCUGUAGAGUAGCAG
This is a non-coding RNA of Neolamprologus brichardi, 1156 nucleotides long. Lineage: Eukaryota; Metazoa; Chordata; Actinopteri; Cichliformes; Cichlidae. The record is from RefSeq and is a predicted model, not a curated record.